This 1216-nucleotide ribosomal RNA is filed under the name Nonomuraea fastidiosa. RNAcentral describes it as "bacterial LSU rRNA". It matches the Rfam family "Bacterial large subunit ribosomal RNA", at positions 1 to 1149 of the family's 2925-position model. The record is from RNAcentral. Lineage: Bacteria; Bacillati; Actinomycetota; Actinomycetes; Streptosporangiales; Streptosporangiaceae.
GGCCAAGUUUUUUAGGGCACACGGUGGAUGCCUUGGCAUCAGGAGCCGAUGAAGGACGUGGGAGGCUGCGUUAAGCCUCGGGGAGUCGCCAACCAGACGUUGAUCCGGGGAUGUCCGAAUGGGGAAACCUAGCACCAGUCAUGUGGUGUUGCCUCCGCCUGAAUGUAUAGGGCGGUUGGUGGUAACGCGGGGAAGUGAAACAUCUCAGUACCCGUAGGAAGAGAAAACAAUAGUGAUUCCGUGAGUAGUGGUGAGCGAAAGCGGAUGAGGCUAAACCGGGCGUGUGUGAUAGCCGGCAGGCGUUGCAUGUUCGGGGUUGUGGGACCUUCUUGAGGUAUCUGCCGCUGUCUCGGAGAGCAGUGAUAAAUCCAUCUGAUAGUUGAAGCCUCUGGGAAGGGGCGCCGUAGACCGUGAGAGCCGGGUAGGCGAAAUUGGAUGGACUGUUGGAGGGGAUCCCCAAGUAGCACGGGGCUCGAGGAAUCCUGUGUGAAUCUGCCAGGACCACCUGGUAAGCCUAAAUACUCCCUGGUGACCGAUAGUGCACGAGUACCGUGAGGGAAAGGUGAAAAGUGCCCCGGUGAGGGGUCGUGAAAUAGUACCUGAAACCGUGUGCCUACAAGCCGUAGGAGCUUACAGCUGGGCUUCGCUCAGCUGUUGAUGUGACUGCGUGCCUUUUGAAGAAUGAGCCUGCAAGUUAUGGUGUGUGCCAAGGUUAACCCGUGUGGGGAAGCCGUAGCGAAAGCGAGUCUGAAGAGGGCGUUUGAGUCGCAUGCUGUAGACCCGAAGCGGGGUGAUCUACGCAUGGGCAGGUUGAAGCUCAGGUAAGACUGGGUGGAGGACCGAACCCACCAGGGUUGAAAACCUGGGGGAUGAUCUGUGUGUAGGGGUGAAAGGCCAAUCAAACUCCGUGAUAGCUGGUUCUCCCCGAAAUGCAUUUAGGUGCAGCGUUGCGUGUUUCUUGCCGGAGGUAGAGCACUGGAUGGCCGAUGGGCCCGACAAGGUUACUGACGUCAGCCAAACUCCGAAUGCCGGUAAGUGAGAGCGUGGCAGUGAGACUGCGGGCGAUAAGGUUCGUAGUCGAGAGGGAAACAGCCCAGAUCACCGACUAAGGCCCCUAAGCGUGUGCUAAGUGGGAAAGGAUGUGGAGUCGCAGAGACAACCAGGAGGUUGGCUUAGAAGCAGCCAUCCUUGAAAGAGUGCGUAAUAGCUCACUGGU